This 469-nucleotide ribosomal RNA is filed under the name uncultured bacterium. RNAcentral's name for it is "partial 16S ribosomal RNA". It matches the Rfam family "Bacterial small subunit ribosomal RNA", at positions 28 to 507 of the family's 1533-position model. The record is from RNAcentral.
GACGAACGCUGGCGGCGUGCUUAACACAUGCAAGUCGAACGGAAAGGCCCUGCUUGCAGGGUGCUCGAGUGGCGAACGGGUGAGUAACACGUGGGUGAUCUGCCCCUUACUUUGGGAUAAGCCUGGGAAACUGGGUCUAAUACUGGAUAGGACCAUGCUGUAGGUGGUGUGGUGGAAAGAUUAGUUUCGGUAAGGGAUGAGCUCGCGGCCUAUCAGCUUGUUGGUGGGGUAAUGGCCUACCAAGGCGUCGACGGGUAGCCGGCCUGAGGGGGUGGACGGCCACAUUGGGACUGAGAUACGGCCCAGACUCCUACGGGAGGCAGCAGAGGGGAAUAUUGCACAAUGGGCGCAAGCCUGAUGCAGCGACGCCGCGUGGGGGAUGACGGCCUUCGGGUUGUAAACUCCUUUCAGCCAUGACGAAGCCCUUGUGGUGACGGUAGUGGUAGAAGAAGCACCGGCUAACUACGUG